RNAcentral lists this ribosomal RNA (253 nucleotides) under uncultured bacterium. RNAcentral describes it as "partial 16S ribosomal RNA". It matches the Rfam family "Bacterial small subunit ribosomal RNA", at positions 524 to 776 of the family's 1533-position model. The record is from RNAcentral.
UACGUAGGUGGCAAGCGUUGUUCGGAAUUAUUGGGCGUAAAGGGCGCGUAGGCGGUUGGUUAAGUCAGCUGUGAAAGCCCGGGGCUCAACCCCGGAGGGUCGGCUGAUACUGAUUGACUAGAGUACGGAAGAGGUAGCUGGAAUUCCCGGUGUAGCGGUGAAAUGCGUAGAUAUCUGGAGGAACACCGGUGGCGAAGGCGGCAUCCUGGACCGAUAUUGACGCUGAUGCGCGAAAGCCAGGGGAGCAAACGGG